UGACUGUUGUGGUUUGGAAGACUAGUGAUUUAGUUGUUUUGUAAUGAGACCAACAAUAAAUCACAAUCUUCUAGGACUACGGCAGUCA
Molecule: non-coding RNA, 88 nt
Organism: Biomphalaria glabrata
Lineage: Eukaryota; Metazoa; Mollusca; Gastropoda; Planorbidae
Source: Rfam